GGAGCUGUGCCUGAAUAAAAGGACUACUUUGAUAGAGUAGAUAAUGAGGGUUAAAAUCCCUCCAACUCCU
Molecule: transfer RNA, 70 nt
Filed under: Enneanectes altivelis (lofty triplefin)
Lineage: Eukaryota; Metazoa; Chordata; Actinopteri; Blenniiformes; Tripterygiidae
Description: tRNA-Ile
Rfam family: tRNA
About the family: Transfer RNA (tRNA) molecules are approximately 80 nucleotides in length.
Source: RNAcentral